RNAcentral lists this ribosomal RNA (550 nucleotides) under uncultured Bacteroidota bacterium. RNAcentral describes it as "bacterial SSU rRNA". It matches the Rfam family "Bacterial small subunit ribosomal RNA", at positions 71 to 618 of the family's 1533-position model. The record is from RNAcentral. Lineage: Bacteria; Pseudomonadati; Bacteroidota.
CAUUGGUGCUUGCACCAGAUGACGAGUGGCGCACGGGUGCGUAACGCGUACGCAAUCUACCUUUUACUAGAGUAUAGCCCAGAGAAAUUUGGAUUAAUCCUCUAUAAUAUCUUUAAGUUUCAUGACUUUUAGAUUAAAGUUUUAACGGUAAAAGAUGAGCAUGCGUCCUAUUAGUUUGUAGGUGAGGUAACGGCUCACCUAGACUACGAUAGGUAGGGGCCCUGAGAGGGGGAUCCCCCACACUGGUACUGAGACACGGACCAGACUCCUACGGGAGGCAGCAGUAAGGAAUAUUGGACAAUGGACGAAAGUCUGAUCCAGCCAUGCCGCGUGCAGGAUGAAAGCCCUAUGGGUUGUAAACUGCUUUUAUACAGGAAGAAACACUCGUACGUGUACGAGCUUGACGGUACUGUAAGAAUAAGGACCGGCUAACUCCGUGCCAGCAGCCGCGGUAAUACGGAGGGUCCGAGCGUUAUCCGGAAUCAUUGGGUUUAAAGGGUCCGCAGGCGGUCUUUUAAGUCAGAGGUGAAAGCCUACAGCUCAACUGUAG